Long non-coding RNA from Drosophila subpulchrella, 373 nucleotides. RefSeq lists it as uncharacterized. The record is from RefSeq and is a predicted model, not a curated record. The transcript is spliced from 2 exons. Lineage: Eukaryota; Metazoa; Arthropoda; Insecta; Diptera; Drosophilidae.
AGCACUGGCCAAAUGUAAGCAAGGGCUUCGCAGAAGCAAAUCAUUUUACAUUUCUUUAAAAUAAAUUACAAUUACUAACAAUGCUUGUUGCCAGUACGUGCCGCGUUUAGCUGCUUUGUUUAUCUGCGACGUGCCAUCGUGAGGGCAAUUAUCUAGUCCAAUCAGUGGUUUAACCGACAUUAGCGAGGAUUCCCCGCAUCGAAGGCGAAUCACUUGGCAAUUGAGCAAUCGCAAUCGUAGGCGUCCAAGUUUGGGUCUCUUCCACUGGAAUGUUCUCCCUCCUUCCUGCACAGUGGGAUAAAAAUCAUUGUUAGUUGGCUCGAAAAUGUAUACAUUAUAUUGUUAAUAAACAAAAUAUUACUUUUUUCUCUAA